UGGGGAAUAUUGCACAAUGGGGGAAACCCUGAUGCAGCGACGCCGCGUGAGUGAAGAAGUAUUUCGGUAUGUAAAGCUCUAUCAGCAGGGAAGAAAAUGACGGUACCUGACUAAGAAGCCCCGGCUAACUACGUGCCAGCAGCCGCGGUAAUACGUAGGGGCAAGCGUUAUCCGGAUUUACUGGGUGUAAAGGGUGCGUAGGCGGUAUGGCAAGUCAGAAGUGAAAACGCAGGGCUUAGCCCUGCGACUGCUUUUGAAACUGUCAGACUAGAGUGUCGGAGGGGUAAGUGGAAUUCCUAGUGUAGCGGUGAAAUGCGUAGAUAUUAGGAGGAACACCAGUGGCGAAGGCGGCUUACUGGACGAUCACUGACGCUGAGGCUCGAAAGCGUGGGGAGCAAACAGGAUUAGAUACCCUGGUA
RNAcentral lists this ribosomal RNA (419 nucleotides) under uncultured Lachnospiraceae bacterium. RNAcentral describes it as "bacterial SSU rRNA". It matches the Rfam family "Bacterial small subunit ribosomal RNA", at positions 355 to 792 of the family's 1533-position model. The record is from RNAcentral. Lineage: Bacteria; Bacillati; Bacillota; Clostridia; Lachnospirales; Lachnospiraceae.